GGUUCUGAACAGGUGGGAACUUAUAUCCUGAGAAGGACCUGAGGAAAGCUACCCAAAGAUCAUGACAGAUUGGCCGAAGGACAAAUUGCAAACGAAAAGGUGAAAUUUACCAGUAAGAAAUGCAAGGUCCAGUCCCCGGGCCUCAACAAAGCAAAACAUCAACAGCACAAGCAGAGACUGGAGGAAAGAGAGCUCAGCAAGAGCAGAGAGGAAAACGCAGUUCUCUCGACAGGAAGCCAGGCGGGUGUGAGUCAGCGGUGGGGUGGCCGCCAGCCCCGAGCCAGGGGGACCUCCAGCCUCCAGGCAGGGAGGGGGCAGCUGGCUCCACUCGGCCUGGCGCUCUGAUCCCAGGAGCGCACUCAGUCCUGGUAGCAGCUCGGAGGAGGUGGAUCGAUGGCCUGAGAACCUGGAAGGAAUGGCGGCAUCGACCAGCCACCCUCACACCGGAUGCCAGCGGGACUCCCAGGUGAACAGAGCAAGUCUCCCUUACAGCUGGAAUACAGACUCUGAUGGUCUCUCCUGCCACUUUGGCCUCAAGAUCGCUUCUGCAGACCUGACGACAGUCUGCUAGCCACCUAAUUAAAUAAUCAUCUAGUUCCCAGUACUACGAGGUGGGCAUUUGCUUCUCAAUGUGCUGCAGAUCGUAAAGCAGAAGGAUGACAAGCUCCAAGACUUAAAUUCUUGGCUCAAACCACGGUUGGAAAACUAGGCUUUCUAUGAUAGUGCUAAGACUCUCUUCUAGCUUACGUGCGCAGGUUGAGAUCACCCACAACGAACCUGGGUUUAACGCUGCAAGUUGCCGAAUUAUUCCACCGGGUCUUAUAAGUGAAACGAAGGGCACGCUUCGAAAAGACUGGACCUGGAGAGUUGGAAUGGGGACAUUUGAUGGCAUUUGGCUGAAUCUGAGCCCCACUGGGAGGACCACCAAGGAGUCAGACUCCUCGGGAAGGAAGGUUUCGAUCACCUCACCAGGCCAACAACGCUGAUCAGCUAAGGCAUUGUCUUUCCCCUUUCUUUUCCCUACUGUUUUCUGUAGGAUGUGUUGGUGGCAGUGAACUCGAGCUAAGUGGCAUCGUUCAGCCUGUCAGGCACCCGCAGUAGUGAUAGCAGGUUUCUCACCAGAACUAGUUCUGAGUUGUGGUUUGGGGUGUUUUUUCCUGGCUGUUUAACCUCAAAGCUGGUUCUCCAGCCCUCUCACCAUUUCUGUCAGAGACCCAAUAUCAUUCUGAUCAGCUCUUUUUCUGCUUAAAUCAGUCAGGAUCAGCUUCUGUUGCUUGCAAAUUAAAACCCUGACUAGUACAACAUCUACAAAGAGUGUGUGGUCAGUCCAAGUUUCCUCAUCUCUAAAACACACCGAAACUGAAUGAAGAAAUAAUAAAUAGAAAAGGAGAAAUUAAAGUUAGAAAAAUUAAAAAGUAGGACUUAUUAAUAAUCGAAAAACUGGUUCACUGCCAAAACAAAAAUCAAUAAAACAGAAAACACCAACUAACCUAACCAACAGAGGAAAAAGGAACAGAGCACAAAUUCACAAUGACAAGGAAGCAAUACCUCUGAGAAGAGUAAAAACAAAUUAAAAAAAUCAUAAAAGCAUUUCAUAAAAUUAUAUGUGAUGAAUUUGAUGGCCUGGAUGAAACAGACACUUUUCCAGGAAGAGUAUAAUUUAUAAAACUGACUCAGGGAGAGAUAGACUAAACAGACCAAUUUCCAUAAA
Molecule: long non-coding RNA, 1711 nt
Organism: Balaenoptera acutorostrata (minke whale)
Lineage: Eukaryota; Metazoa; Chordata; Mammalia; Artiodactyla; Balaenopteridae
Exons: 3
Source: RefSeq, a predicted model, not a curated record